AGUAACUUUGUUAAAUUAUACAUAUUUCAUCAUAUUUACCUUAAUUUAGUUAUCAAAAAGAAAAUAUGAUAUAAU
This 75-nucleotide small RNA is filed under the name Parvimonas sp. oral taxon 393 str. F0440. Its description in RNAcentral is "dfrA-dnaX RNA". It matches the Rfam family "dfrA-dnaX RNA". Lineage: Bacteria; Bacillati; Bacillota; Tissierellia; Tissierellales; Peptoniphilaceae. The record is from Rfam by way of RNAcentral.